GUGAAUCAUCGAAUCUUUGAACGCAAAUUGCGCCUUUUUCGGAUGGCAUGUCUGUUUGAGGGCACCAUUUAACACAUACUGUGCAGAGUUUUUUGUUGCACACGUUGAUGCGCUUUUCAAGAAUUUUAAAUUUUUGGUGGAGAAUAAUGAACAGCGUGAAAGUUUUUUUCAGUUCGAGUGUAGUUAAAUCUUUGCUGAGGUUGUGAAAUAACAUAAUCGCGUAAUGGGUGUGGCAAUUUCUUUUUAUCACUGCCCCAAUGUCACUUUUU
This 269-nucleotide unclassified non-coding RNA is filed under the name Paraglomerales sp. RNAcentral describes it as "partial contains 5.8S ribosomal RNA and internal transcribed spacer 2". The stretch from base 1 to 65 matches the Rfam family "5.8S ribosomal RNA", at positions 84 to 154 of the family's 154-position model. Lineage: Eukaryota; Fungi; Glomeromycota; Glomeromycetes; Paraglomerales. The record is from RNAcentral.